This 372-nucleotide ribosomal RNA is filed under the name uncultured bacterium. RNAcentral's name for it is "bacterial SSU rRNA". It matches the Rfam family "Bacterial small subunit ribosomal RNA", at positions 525 to 896 of the family's 1533-position model. The record is from RNAcentral.
ACAGAGGGGGCAAGCGUUGUCCGGACUUACUGGGCGUAAAGCGCACGCAGGUGGCGGCGCAAGUGUUAUGUGAAAGCCCCGCGCUCAACGCGGGGAGGCCACGACAGACUGCGCGGCUCGAGGGAUGCAGAGGGUGGUGGAAUUGCCGGUGUAGUGGUGAAAUGCGUAGAGAUCGGCAGGAACACCAAGGCCGAAGGGAGCCACCUGGGCAUCGCCUGACACUCAUGUGCGACAGCGUGGGGAGCGAACCGGAUUAGAUACCCGGGUAGUCCACGCCGUAAACGAUGGAUGCUCGGCGUCCGUGGGGGAUACCCCGUGGGCGCCUCAGCUGACGCGGAAGCAUCCCGCCUGGGAACUACGAGCGCAAGCUUA